AUACGGAGGGGGUUAGCGUUGUUCGGAAUUACUGGGCGUAAAGCGCACGUAGGCGGAUUGGAAAGUUGGGGGUGAAAUCCCAGGGCUCAACCCUGGAACUGCCUUAUAAACUCCUGGUCUUGAGUUCGAGAGAGGUGAGUGGAAUUCCAAGUGUAGAGGUGAAAUUCGUAGAUAUUUGGAGGAACACCAGUGGCGAAGGCGGCUCACUGGCUCGAUACUGACGCUGAGGUACGAAAGUGUGGGGAGCAAACAGGAUUAGAUACCCCGGUAGUCC
RNAcentral lists this ribosomal RNA (274 nucleotides) under uncultured bacterium. RNAcentral's name for it is "partial 16S ribosomal RNA". It matches the Rfam family "Bacterial small subunit ribosomal RNA", at positions 523 to 796 of the family's 1533-position model. The record is from RNAcentral.